UGUGGCGGAAGGGCAGACGCACCAGACUUAGGAUCUGGCGGGAAACCGUGGGGGUUCAAGUCCCUUCUCCCGCGCCGCACCA
This 82-nucleotide transfer RNA is filed under the name Sporomusaceae bacterium. RNAcentral describes it as "tRNA-Leu". It matches the Rfam family "tRNA". Rfam says of the family: Transfer RNA (tRNA) molecules are approximately 80 nucleotides in length. Their secondary structure includes four short double-helical elements and three loops (D, anti-codon, and T loops). Further hydrogen bonds mediate the characteristic L-shaped molecular structure. tRNAs have two regions of fundamental functional importance: the anti-codon, which is responsible for specific mRNA codon recognition, and the 3' end, to which the tRNAs corresponding amino acid is attached (by aminoacyl-tRNA synthetases). tRNAs cope with the degeneracy of the genetic code in two manners: having more than one tRNA (with a specific anti-codon) for a particular amino acid; and 'wobble' base-pairing, i.e. permitting non-standard base-pairing at the 3rd anti-codon position. The record is from RNAcentral. Lineage: Bacteria; Bacillati; Bacillota; Negativicutes; Selenomonadales; Sporomusaceae.